CUGAUCUCUGCUCGUUAUACAAGUAACAGGCUUGGAGAUCUUUUAUCAAAACUGCUUUUUACUCUUUUAGCAUGCAGAAUUAAAUAUUACAAGCGAAGCAAAUGUAGGUACACGAGAGAGAUGGAAGACAGAGUUCCAUUAGGUGAUAAGAAAACUAUUUGGGGAGUUGAGACCUGCCUAGCUGCCUGCUUGAUAAAACCUGUAACAAAAAGGGAACAUAUAAGCAAUAUAUGGUGAAGACAUGGAAAACCUCACAGGCAUCUAAUGUUGAACUGCACAUUAUCCACCGGCCCAUGCACUUGUUCAGGUUUCUUCGUAAAUCUAUGCUUGGAUUCUUUGUAAAGGUAUUUCAUACUACUAUUUCCUAAAUGCUACAAAUUGCAACUGGCUGGAUGAAAAUCAGAUACAGUUAUAACUCCCUUCAUGAAUUAUUUUGUCACCCUGGUGAGGUCCUUGAUGUUGUACAGCUUCGUAGACUCAUUUAUUCUGGGAUGAAAACCUAAUGCAGAAAAUCCUCAGCGGUCAUGACGCAUCAUCCAGAUGACUUUUUGUAUGACCUGUGAACCCACCAGAGCUGUUUCCAUUGACUCUGACACCACUUUCUGAGCAUGAGCAGAAUGCUGAAUUCCUUCAGCGCUGGAGGAAGGGAGAGGAAGGCUGUUUCUUCUGACAGAGGCAGUCUGGGCGUCAGCUGUGCACCUCCUCCCUAGUGAAAGAGGAAAGAGGAUUGUGCCGGUGGCAUCCCAGUGAAACGGCGUAAUGACAAGGAGCUGGCACUGGGUGACAAUGAGCUUGUUCCCUGGCUGUGUCCCAUCUCAUCAACCACAUACAUUUAAAGCUCACACAUCAAACUAGAUGGAGAAAGAUGAGGGGCCUGUAUAAAAAACUCAGAGACUACACAGAAGUAGGAAUGCCAAGGGAGAAAUUCUGCUUUUUUAUUUUUUAAAUAAAAAUACCUGCAUUAAUCAACA
Long non-coding RNA from Rhea pennata, 971 nucleotides. RefSeq lists it as uncharacterized. The record is from RefSeq and is a predicted model, not a curated record. NCBI's taxonomy places the organism in Eukaryota, Metazoa, Chordata, Aves, Rheiformes, Rheidae. The transcript is spliced from 5 exons.